RNAcentral lists this ribosomal RNA (598 nucleotides) under uncultured fungus. RNAcentral's name for it is "eukaryotic LSU rRNA". The stretch from base 188 to 341 matches the Rfam family "5.8S ribosomal RNA". The record is from RNAcentral. Lineage: Eukaryota; Fungi.
UCCGUAGGUGAACCUGCGGAAGGAUCAUUAAAGAUUCUAAGGCUUCGGUCUUAAUUUCGGCUGUGCGCUCAGGCUGCACGCCGAUAACCUCUCACACCUGUGCACCUUUUCGGUUGCGGUUUCGGCCGCUUCCGCUUUUACAUGCAACCACGAAAAGUCUAGAAUGUGAAGAAAACUAUAAAGUAACAACUUUCAACAACGGAUCUCUUGGCUCUCGCAUCGAUGAAGAACGCAGCGAAGUGCGAUAAGUAAUGUGAAUUGCAGAAUUCAGUGAAUCAUCGAAUCUUUGAACGCACCUUGCGCUCCUUGGUAUUCCAUGGAGCAUGCCUGUUUGAGUGUCACGUAAACCCUCACCCCUGCGAUGUAACAGUCGCCUGCGGUGGACUUGGACCGUGCCGGUAAUCGGCUCGUCUUGAAAUGCAUUAGCUGGCGCUUUUAGAGUGCUGGGCGAACGGUGUGAUAAUUAUCUGCGCCGACUGCCCUGGGCCUCUUCAGCGGCGCUGCUUACAGCCGUCCCUUGUGGACAACUAUUUUAAAGCUUUGGCCUCAAAUCAGGUAGGACUACCCGCUGAACUUAAGCAUAUCAAUAAGCGGAGGA